Molecule: ribosomal RNA, 468 nt
Filed under: uncultured bacterium
Lineage: Bacteria
Description: partial 16S ribosomal RNA
Rfam family: Bacterial small subunit ribosomal RNA
Source: RNAcentral
GACGAACGCUGGCGGCGUGCUUAACACAUGCAAGUCGAACGGAAAGGCCCUGCUUUUGUGGGGUGCUCGAGUGGCGAAAGGGUGAGUAACACGUGAGUAACCUGCCCUUGACUUUGGGAUAACUUCAGGAAACUGGGGCUAAUACCGGAUAGGAGCUCCUGCUGCAUGGUGGGGGUUGGAAAGUUUCGGCGGUUGGGGAUGGACUCGCGGCUUAUCAGCUUGUUGGUGGGGUAGUGGCUUACCAAGGCUUUGACGGGUAGCCGGCCUGAGAGGGUGACCGGCCACAUUGGGACUGAGAUACGGCCCAGACGCCUACGGGAGGCAGCAGUGGGGAAUAUUGCACAAUGGGCGGAAGCCUGAUGCAGCAACGCCGCGUGCGGGAUGACGGCCUUCGGGUUGUAAACCGCUUUCGCCUGUGACGAAGCGUGAGUGACGGUAAUGGGUAAAGAAGCACCGGCUAACUACGUG